AUGGAAACUAACACAAACAUAAGAAAGGUCAUCACGAGCAGCAGCAAAUUAAAGAAGAAUAGAGAUGGGAUGAACGCCAAGCAUCAGGACGCCAAGCUCUCCGAGCAAACAGCCGCAUUCCCUAUCGAGGACCUCAUCAUGCCUGCCGGAGCAGCCCACCCGGCACACAGCAGAGGGGCGGCGGGGCAGGAACGGGGAAGCUCUGGCCUCACGAAUCUAACCACCAAAUUAAUGGGGAAAAAGGCAGCACCUAAUUCUACAAUAAUCACAUCGUCAGCAAUUGCAUGUGAUGCUAUAGCCACAAGAUCCAUUGUAGAUAGACAGGGCCAUGGGUCACAUAUUUCUCACCUAGGAAGUGGAUCAUCGAUCGCGUGCAAAAUGCACCACCCGGAUGUCGAGGCACUCGUAGGAGCAGAGCAUGGUGAUGCCAACGUCAGAGUAGAGGACCCGGAGUCCCUGAGGACGAGGUGCUGCUGCUGCUCUGCUGUGGAGAGUUGGGCUGGCCUCCCUACGACGCCGUCGUCCACUCGUCGAGCUCCGGACGCGUGUGGUGCGAACGAGGCAGUCCCUCCUCGGUCGGAUCCCGUCCACCUCCGGCUGGUGGUGGUGCGGGGAAGAGAGCAUCACGAUGGGAGGGAGAGCUUGCAGGAGAGGAGAGAAAGAGAGGGGCCGAAGGAGGGACACGGCGUAUCGCACAAGGACGGGGCACACGGCGACGGGCAGAUGGCGUGCGUGGCCACCGCACGCCGUCCAGUUGGGGAGGUUGGUCGUCGUCGAAGUGGAGCGCCAAGGCUAGCACCAGUGAGAGGAAGGUGGAGGUGGGGGAGAUCAGUUGCCAGCUAG
RNAcentral lists this ribosomal RNA (843 nucleotides) under Triticum aestivum (bread wheat). Its description in RNAcentral is "partial small subunit ribosomal RNA". The record is from RNAcentral. Lineage: Eukaryota; Viridiplantae; Streptophyta; Magnoliopsida; Poales; Poaceae.